This 497-nucleotide ribosomal RNA is filed under the name uncultured bacterium. Its description in RNAcentral is "partial 16S ribosomal RNA". It matches the Rfam family "Bacterial small subunit ribosomal RNA", at positions 28 to 507 of the family's 1533-position model. The record is from RNAcentral.
GACGAACGCUGGCGGCGUGCCUAAUACAUGCAAGUUGAGCGAUGAAGAUUGGUGCUUGCACCAAUUUGAAGAGCAGCGAACGGGUGAGUAACGCGUGGGGAAUCUGCCUUUGAGCGGGGGACAACAUUUGGAAACGAAUGCUAAUACCGCAUAACAACUUUAAACAUAAGUUUUAAGUUUGAAAGAUGCAAUUGCAUCACUCAAAGAUGAUCCCGCGUUGUAUUAGCUAGUUAGUGAGGUAAAGGCUCACCAAGGCGAUGAUACAUAGCCGACCUGAGAGGGUGAUCGGCCACAUUGGGACUGAGACACGGCCCAAACUCCUACGGGAGGCAGCAGUAGGGAAUCUUCGGCAAUGGACGAAAGUCUGACCGAGCAACGCCGCGUGAGUGAAGAAGGUUUUCGGAUCGUAAAACUCUGUUGGUAGAGAAGAACGUUGGUGAGAGUGGAAAGCUCAUCAAGUGACGGUAACUACCCAGAAAGGGACGGCUAACUACGUG